AUGAUUAUUUUGAACUUACUAUUUUCCCCAAAGUUGAGCCCCAUGGGUCGGAUUGGUGUCUUCAGUUCUUCUUCCAUUGUUUUUCAUGGGAUUAGGAGGAAUACCCUUCCGGCUUUCCAUUGUGAUCUGUGAGUUCCAAAUUUUCUUCUGUUUAAUCACAAAGCAAACAAAUGGGUCAUCUUUCAAGAUUUGAUGACUAACCCAAAGAUUUUCUUUUUAUUUCCAAAACAUGUAAACUGAUGGUGGAUCUUGGGGGGGGGGGGGUUCUCGAAUGAGCACUGAAUGACUGUUGUCAGCCAAUCCUUUACUGGGUCUUCUAAGGAGAUUCGGGUCAUCAUAUACUUUUGUCCUCCUUUUAGUUUCCAAAUUCACUAGCUGAGCUGGUGACAGGGUUUGGUGGCCACUGAUCAUGAAAGCCAAAGGGCCAUUGCCUGGGCUUCAUAGACUCACAUAUUUGAGUUUGAUAAGACAUGUUUAUCUAUUUUACCCUUUUCUUUAUUAUACCAAAAGAUUUUGGUUCAUGGUCAACCAUCAUCACCCAAGGGACUGUGUCAUGUCAAUGACUUGAUUUGUGGGUUACCACUUGUUUCAAGCUUAAUAGACUUCCAUUGACUUCCUCUUCAUCAAUCUUUUUUGUUUGACAUUAGCUUGUUUAACCAGAGGUUCAAAAGCCACCCAUUUCUUUUCUGAUCAUUCCUUUUUGCAAUAUAGCACAACUUAGUUUCUUUCACAACAGGCAAACGAGCAAGCUUUGUCUACUGUUGGAAAACUAAACAUAAAUAGCGGACACUUGAACCCCAAUUGUGUAUCAUUAGUACUCUUGUUUAAGAUGGAAGUACUUGUUGGUUCCAAAUUAGGUCUGCUAUUGGACCUCGUGCAUUUUCAGCCGUAUAUAACAUAUGCAUGUAACUGUACUAGUAAGGUAAAAUCUACCUAGGGAAUAGAGUUGAGCUAGAGAUAUUUCUAAUUGUCAUGUAUGCUGGUGAUUAUGAAACAUGGAGUUUGUUCGUCCAUUUCAGUAAUCCACCUACACAAAUGAGAGCAAAUUUAUCCAAAAUUAGACUAGAAAUGUGAUAAUAUUAUAUUGAUUCCUAGCAGAUAGACUCAUACAUCCUUCGUUGAUCGUAAAUCCAGAUCAUCCCCCACAAAAGAAGAUACUGAGAAAGAUGGAGAAAGAUACUACAACU
This 1187-nucleotide long non-coding RNA is filed under the name Gossypium barbadense (sea-island cotton). RNAcentral's name for it is "long non-coding RNA (GBAR_LNC015585)". The record is from RNAcentral. Lineage: Eukaryota; Viridiplantae; Streptophyta; Magnoliopsida; Malvales; Malvaceae.